Pipistrellus kuhlii (Kuhl's pipistrelle) is the source of this 107-nucleotide small nuclear RNA. The record is from RefSeq and is a predicted model, not a curated record. Lineage: Eukaryota; Metazoa; Chordata; Mammalia; Chiroptera; Vespertilionidae.
GUGCUCACUUCGACAGCACAUGUACUAAAACUGGAAUGAUACAGAGAAGAUUCGCACGGCCCCUAAGCGAGGAUGACACGCAAAUGUGUGAAGCGUUUCAUAUUAAA